UUGAAGUCAUUGUGGCCUUAUAUUCACACAUGCUGGCUUUUGCUCUAUCAUUUCCAAAAACUCAAAGUGAAUAGUGUAAAACAUAGAAUGAAAGCAGGAGUCGCCUGGAUAUCUCUGUCCAAUAUUUGGAGGAAGACUUCUGGGAAAUGGCUGGCAGUUCACAAUGUCUAUUGAAGCAAAUGAACUCUGUAAAAUGAGAGAUUUGCAAGAAUCCUUAAAAUUUCUGCAAUUAAAGAAUGACCAGGCAGUACUCUUUGAAAAUUGGAGACCAUUUGCACCUGCUCUCUGUUGAGGAAAGUGAAUAAUAGGGUGCCCUCAAGGAAUUUCGAAGGUAUCACUCAACAGAAACUUUUGUGUCUGAAGAAAACUAGAUCAUUUUAUCAUGGUAGGCAUAGUGAUAUGUUUGCUUUAAUAAAAUGCCAUAUUUCUGCCUUUAAUCUCUUGUCAACCAGCUAUU
This is a long non-coding RNA of Balaenoptera musculus (blue whale), 457 nucleotides long. RefSeq lists it as uncharacterized. The transcript has 3 exons. Lineage: Eukaryota; Metazoa; Chordata; Mammalia; Artiodactyla; Balaenopteridae. The record is from RefSeq and is a predicted model, not a curated record.